Molecule: non-coding RNA, 21 nt
Filed under: Rattus norvegicus (Norway rat)
Lineage: Eukaryota; Metazoa; Chordata; Mammalia; Rodentia; Muridae
Source: RNAcentral
ACAUUAAGCUUACUUUGAGGU